Molecule: long non-coding RNA, 597 nt
Organism: Folsomia candida
Lineage: Eukaryota; Metazoa; Arthropoda; Collembola; Entomobryomorpha; Isotomidae
Exons: 2
Source: RefSeq, a predicted model, not a curated record
AUCCAUUCUGCCCAAGCAACAGGCAGCUCAGCAAUAGCAACACAUUUCGUAUUCAUAAAGGGAUGCAGUACAAUGCAAAGCAAUGAUCAGCUAGGUCUGGAUUACUGGUGAUGGUUCAUCUGGAUAUUGAAUCUCGUCUACUAAUCGCAUCGACAAAACUCAGUCAGCAACCCUUCCACAAAGAAGCAGACACGAAGUACCAGUUGCCCUUGAAUCUCCUUCGAGAUUCGAUCCCGGGUCAUCGGUCUUCCGAGAUUCAUUUCCUCACUCUUCCUUCCGUCCUUCCUUCCUCCUUUGGCAAAAACUGCCCUCAGGCGCGUGUCGUGUCGUCGCCGUCUCUACGCUUUUGAUAACAACUUGUACUCGUGUGGAUACGUUAUGGAGUGCUUUCAGCUAUUCAUCCUUAUUCGGCCAGCCCAAAAUAUUUAACAAAAUCGUUCUCGGCCUGCACAAUAUCUGAAAUAAGUAUUACCUGAAAAGGGAAAGGAAUUGAUUGGUCAACAUUUGUACCGUCAAGUCAAGUGAACAAAAUUUGGGGUCUGUACAUGAACUGAGAAUAAAGGAUAAAGCGUGACAAAUAUCCGCAUCAAACCAGAA